Lonchura striata (white-rumped munia) is the source of this 639-nucleotide long non-coding RNA. RefSeq lists it as uncharacterized. NCBI's taxonomy places the organism in Eukaryota, Metazoa, Chordata, Aves, Passeriformes, Estrildidae. The record is from RefSeq and is a predicted model, not a curated record.
GCCGGGGCCGCUCGGGGCGUGCGCUGGCCGCCCGCGCCCGCCCCCCGGAACACGAACAGCGGCCCUUUUCCCUGGGAGGAAAACUCGCCAGCCCGUUCCUGGUGUCGGUUUGUAGGUGCAGUGGGAGAGCAGCCUGGGUUUCUGCAGCAAGCCCUGCCAGGAAAGCAUCGUGUCAUCCCACCAGAUGGGAAGAACAUUAGAACAUUGCUGCAUGCAAAACAACUGAUCUUGUUGCAACUAGGUCAGUUUUUCCUGUCUUUCAGUCCAAGAAGAUCCAGGAUUCAGUUUUCUCUGCAGUUAAGAGACUCUACACAGUCUUCUUGAAAAUCCAAGUUCAUAUCUGGAUAUAACUCUUAGCCAAGGGUGGCCAGAGUGUCAAGGUGGUCAAAUGCAGUUCCCAUAACAAGGUGACACCACCUGAGCAGCGAGAGGGCCCUGCUGGCAUGGGAGCACAGGACAGCCCAAACCUCCAGCCCUCGAGGAACUGGGCUCACAGGGACUGCUGGAGGUGACACCCCUGAGCUGCUGUGGGUCCCUGCUGCAUUCCCAGGCAGCCUCACCUCAAAGGGGGCUCCUGUGGAAACAGUCACCUCUGUGAGGGUGCUCCCCACCCUCCUGCAUUAAAGGGAGACUGGUGAA